This 28-nucleotide small RNA is filed under the name Bombyx mori (domestic silkworm). RNAcentral's name for it is "ovarian small RNA-25175". Lineage: Eukaryota; Metazoa; Arthropoda; Insecta; Lepidoptera; Bombycidae. The record is from RNAcentral.
UCACCGUUGCGUGGUUACUGUGCUGGAA